CGGGCGCAAACGCUGGUUGUUGGCCAAGACCCCAGGAUCCCGAACCCCAGUGUGGUUGGCAUCCCCCGUGUUGACUAGGCGCCUUAUUUUUGCACAAAUCAUCAACACGAGGGCCAUAAGGCACCGAAAGCCUGGCGCAGUCAGUUCAGUCGCUCAGUCGUGUCCGACUCUGAGACCCCACGGACUACAGCAUGCCAGGCCUGCCUGUCCAUCAGGCGCCUACAAAUACUUGUUCAGUGAAUGAAUGAAUCUGCCCUUUAGAGUUCUACUUCGAGUCACCGCCUCCAGGGAGCCUUCCAAGCCUUCCCCAACACCCGUGGACUGGAAGCCUGCAUCUCCCACUUGUAACGCUGGUCCCUCCCUCCCUGGCCCGAUGCUGGACCAGGCACAGGAGGCCUGAAGAACGCUGGAGGAAGCGCUGAGGGCUGGGACUGACAAGGGAGGCCCGCAGUCUCUGGAGCCCCGGGGUACCCCUCCGCGCGACGCUCUCACUUUCCCACGCAAAAUCUCGUGCGCUUGGCCGGAAAUCUCGACUCUUAAUGUGCGGGCGCUAGGACCGCUCGGAGCCAGUUCCGGGGCGGCCCCCGAACUUCCACUCCCAGGAUGCCCCGGUUUAUUUGCAUCUUUCAGUCCCGAGUGACGUCAAGUGAGUGAGGCAGCUCCUUGGCCAAUGGAUGGCCGCGAGGUGUUAGGACCUGGCCAUAUAAGAAAAAAAUUUGAAGUGAAGGAAGAAUGGUCGCAUGGGGUGGAGGUAUCUUCAGGCCUAUCUAGGAGCAAGAGACAAGAAAUCUGUUUCCCUGUCUUUAAAAUGGGGAGAGGUUUACUGCCUCUGCGAGGGACUUGAUGUCUUCAAAAUAAUUGUCCUGGACGUGGAGACGGUGAGAUGCCUUCAGUUCUGGACAAGGUGCUUCGCUUCCCAUGUGGGCACUCCUCCAAGCAACCUUGGGUUCCACCCCCAGCUCCUUUCUGCCGGGUGGCAGGUGAGGGUCUGCCCUC
Molecule: long non-coding RNA, 996 nt
Organism: Bos taurus (domestic cattle)
Lineage: Eukaryota; Metazoa; Chordata; Mammalia; Artiodactyla; Bovidae
Source: Ensembl